GUUCCAUCAGACCCACAGAGUCAUCAAGUCAGGUAUGUCCAGCAGAAGUCCAUCAUGAGAUCAAAUUGUGCAUCUGGGGUCAAGUCUAAACAAGACCAGAAGUCCUAAGAAUUGUAUUAAAAACAAGUUCCCAUACUACUUCAGGGAAUACCAACAUACACAUAAAACUGCUUUUCUCUGAGAUCAACUUAUCUCAGACAGAAUGAUUGACCAGCUCCAAGGAACAUGGAAGUCCAUUUCUUGUGAAAAUUUCGAAGAAUACAUGAAGGAGCUGGGUAUAGGAAGAGCCAGCAGGAAACUGGGCCGUUUGGCAAAACCCACUGUGACCAUCAGUACAGAUGAAGAUGUCAUCACAAUAAAAACCAAAAGCAUCUUUAAAAAUAAUGAGAUCUCCUUUAAGCUGGGAGAAGAGUUUGAGGAGAUCAUGCCAGGUGGCCACAAAACAAAGAGUAAAGUAACCUUAGAUAAUGAGUCCCUGAUUCAAGUUCAGGACUGGGAUGGCAAAGAAACCACCAUAACGAGAAAGCUGGUGGAUGGGAAAAUGGUGGUGAAUCCAUCCUGCUCCCUUUCAGAUGGUUUCCCAGGUCACCUUCCCCACUUCUCCAGAGUAGAAUGAUGUGUGUUCAUGAUUUUUCUCCUCCCAAACCCCCACCUAUACCAAAAUGAAUAAAAAGGAAAGUGCUGUGAACAGUGUUAUCUGUACACGAACAUACGAGAAAGUAUCAUCAAACUCAGUCUCAAACUCUUAAGGCUUUCUCAAGCUGUCCUCCAGACUACUGAGGUUGUUUAAAUAAAACUCCAAAGUACGAUAUUACGACUGUUAA
This is an RNA transcript of Symphalangus syndactylus (siamang), 824 nucleotides long. It is a transcript of the gene named fatty acid binding protein 12, with no coding region annotated. NCBI's taxonomy places the organism in Eukaryota, Metazoa, Chordata, Mammalia, Primates, Hylobatidae. The record is from RefSeq and is a predicted model, not a curated record.